Molecule: long non-coding RNA, 308 nt
Organism: Cucumis sativus (cucumber)
Lineage: Eukaryota; Viridiplantae; Streptophyta; Magnoliopsida; Cucurbitales; Cucurbitaceae
Exons: 3
Source: RefSeq, a predicted model, not a curated record
CGUCGCACGUGUCUCUUUGCAAAGCUACUGCUCGAUUUCUUUCGCGAAGAUUUGGGUUCGUUCUUCAUAGACUUCAACGUGGUUAAGGAGCUUAACUAACUUGAAGGCAAAGGUAAUAAAGGCGGCAAACCGGUGAGGGGCAGGAAGGAAGCGUGAUGCCAUAGGAAACGUGUUUUACUUCCGCUUAUGGGUUCUUGUGAGGUUUAAAAUGAAUUGAAAUUUAGUUUACAAACGUUUGUUGUAAAUAGUAUUAUUUUAUGUUUUCUUGAAUGUUUAAAAAUCAGGCCUGACUUGAAGAUGUUUUUUUU